This 3014-nucleotide long non-coding RNA is filed under the name Mus musculus (house mouse). RNAcentral describes it as "long non-coding RNA chr6:11908763-11911777". The record is from RNAcentral. Lineage: Eukaryota; Metazoa; Chordata; Mammalia; Rodentia; Muridae.
AAAAGAAUAAAAAAAAAAGAGUAAAUCAGAACUUUAGUGGUGAGCAGCUGUGAACAUAUCCAUGCCAAUUACUGAAAUAAUGGAUGAGUGUGUAUGCAAAACCCACGGUAUUUCUCGAGAGCAGAAUACUCUAGAAUAUCUAGAGUAGACAAUAGAUGGAGUGGUUUUGUUUCUUAGGAAAUGAGCUGUAUGACUGCUAAAGUCAAGUCACUUUACUUUCCUCACUCUGUCUCCUCAGUAGGACAUAGAGUGAGAAAAGACUCAGGAUCAAACUGAGCAAUUCAAGUAUGUUUGUUUGAAUAAAACAAGGAGGGGGCCAUGGAUGAUAAACUGAAGGUUAUGCAUAUAAAGGCUGGCAUGGUUUGUUUUCUCUCUCUCUCUCUCUCUCUCUCUCUCUCUCCCUCUCUCUCUCUCAGAAAACUUUUGCUAAGUACCUACUCUGUACCAUAUCUUGUUGCUUUUGCUUUUGGUUUGGCAGGCCUCUGACUCAAGAUCCUCCUGCCUCAGCCUUCCAAGAGUUGGCAUUGCAGACAUACACCUCCAUGAACAACAUUCAGCUUCUAGGGAUUUAGUAUUGAGGGGAAAAAAAAAUACGUACCAUGUUGACUAAGAAGAGCAGGAAAUAAACAGAUAACUUUAUAUAACUAUAGAUGUGCCACUAAAAUAAAUAACAGUGAAAAGUGACAUGGGAGAGGCAGAGGAAAGAUUACUUUAGCUAGAGUGGGCAAGGAAAGAUGCCCCUGGGGAUAUCAUCUGAGUUGAAAACUAGACGAAAAGAAGAAAUUACCAAGGUAUGAUAACAAACAGCAAGAGGCAUGAGUGACUGGUCCAGACAUAGCAAUGGAGGAGAGAAAAAGGAGAUCACCGAGAGAGUAACAAUUUUGGUAAUCCUUUAUAUACUAUGGUAAUGAGUAUGCUUAUAUUAAAAAUCAGUACAGAAAGUACUCAGAUGUAAACAGGAGAAGUAAUGGUAGUGAGUACAGCGAGGCUGCUAGUAACAGAAUUUCAUGACAGGAGGACCUUUGCUGAAAAUUUUAUUUGGAAUGAUAAAUAUUGGUAAUAAAAAGUAAGUAGAUAUAUAGAAAUGCCAUGAUUCAAAAGAAAGUCUAGAAAUUUGCUGUUUUGUUGAUUUUUAAAAUAAUCUUAUUAGCCUAGUUCCUAGACAUAAUAAUUUGACAACCAGGUGAAGCCUUUUGAAAUAUCAAUAAAGCAGAAUUACACAAUAUAAAUUUGCCUAAACUGUACCCAACUAACAGGUCAAAUUGUCAACACUUAAAUUUUGCAUAUUAAACUUAGGGGAAAGAAUAUUCUAGCUGCAUUUUAAUUAGGGCUGGAGACAAUAGUGCUAACAAUUUAGAAAAGCCAGUGUAAAGGGGGGGAUUGCAAACUUCAGUGUGACUUUCAGCAGUAGGGACUUUGCGUGUAGUAGAUUAUAUCAUUUACAAAUUCCUCAUGCUAACCCUGAGGGAGAGAGGUCAUCUCACUGCCUCAGUAGCAUCAGCUUUGAUCAGGUGACUUUCUUUAGUAAGACAUGGAAUGUGAGAAUUCCAUCUGUCACACAGAACUGUUGGCUCCCAUGUGUGCUACUCUCUCUCUUCUCUUUUCCCAUCAUGACAAGAUCAAGUUAUGUUCCAAACAGUGGCUACUUUACCAGCUUGAAUGCUGUUUGGAAAGAGCCGUCGUGUGUCUAUGAUAGGCAUGUAUAGAAAGUAGGAAAGAAAGCUUUACUGUUUAAAAUCAUAGUAAUUGUGAUUAGCAGUGUAGUCUGUCUCAAAAAGAAUUACACCUUUGACCAGUGAUGCAGGGUUCAAAUAGAAAAGAAGCAGACUACAUAUUGCCAAAGGAACUCUUAGCUUUGGGUUUUAAAAACUGUGACUGUUUGAGAUAUGAAUUGACAUUACAUUUCUCCAGUCCUCUAGAGGAAAGAAUCAGGCAGAAAAAUAUGCUGUGCUUAUGAACUCCUUACAUGGAUUCAAGCCAAGAAGCAAGGAAGAACACUGACAAAAUCAUGCUCUAGUUAAAGACUAGGUAACUCUGUGGCAACGUAUAUCCAACAGCAUGUCAAUGUCUGUAUACAGUCCUCAUCCUCUUCACUAUAAGUAUCCAGUAUCAAGUCUCUGUUCUACUGUAGAAAAUUAUGUGUGUCUGUUGUAGGGCAGUUAAAGGUGGUGUUAAUUCACAGACCUUCAGACCGAUCAAAAACAAUCCUAGAAAAACAAACCACCUAGAAAUCACAGUAUUGGACUGGGACUAUAACUCAGUUCUCUAUCACUUGCUUAGUGUGUGUAAGAAUUUUAGUUCCAUCCGUAGCACUGAAAAGAAAUUUUAAAGACGAUAAAAGGAGGGGAAAAAUAAGAAAAGAAAAACUAAGUCAGGAAUGACAGAAAGAGAAAAGAUAAUAAGAGAAGAAGCAUCUACAGCAUCAUUUGUAGAUCUUAGACUGAGUUAGGAAUACCGACAGAUGGAGUUUUAGGUUCUCCCAGUGCUGAAGGCACUUUGAGCACAGAUAGUGGAGACCUGAGUGUCUUGAAGAGAGUCAUUUUGGAGAGUCCGAAAUGAUUGUAAUUUAAAAAAAAAAUGACAAUUGUUUUAUAUUGGCCUUUGUUCACAUAUUUAAUGCUUUUUCUUGGAAAAAUUAUAUUUAGUCCUUUGGCUAGUGUCAAGCUCAGACAGGUAACUUGAUUUGGUCAAUGAAGCAUGCACCAUUAAAAAUAAAAAUAAUAUAAAAAGAAGGCUGAGGAGAUGUCACCAUAAAAGAUGCUUACCUUUCAAGUAUGAGUACCUGAGAUUUCAUCCCUAGAACUCAAGUUCAGCCCCAUUCUCCAAUCCUAGAGAAAACAGACAGACCCUAGAAGCUCCCAAGAUACAAGCUCACAAGGCUGGAGGAUGAAGUAGCCAACAGGAAGGAAUUCUGUCUCAAACGAGGUAGAAGACAAGCGUCAAUCCUUGAUGAUCUCCUCCAACCUCCACCUGACUGCCAUUAUGCAUGUCUUCACAAAUAUGCAUACACACUC